RNAcentral lists this ribosomal RNA (433 nucleotides) under uncultured bacterium. Its description in RNAcentral is "partial 16S ribosomal RNA". It matches the Rfam family "Bacterial small subunit ribosomal RNA", at positions 29 to 507 of the family's 1533-position model. The record is from RNAcentral.
AACGAACGCUGGCGGCAUGCCUAACACAUGCAAGUCGAACGAGACCUUCGGGUCUAGUGGCGCACGGGUGCGUAACGCGUGGGAACCUGCCCUUAGGUUCGGAAUAACUCCCCGAAAGGGGUGCUAAUACCGGAUAAUGUCUUCGGACCAAAGAUUUAUCGCCUUUGGAUGGGCCCGCGUUGGAUUAGCUAGUUGGUAGGGUAAAAGCCUACCAAGGCGACGAUCCAUAGCUGGUCUGAGAGGAUGAUCAGCCACACUGGGACUGAGACACGGCCCAGACUCCUACGGGAGGCAGCAGUGGGGAAUAUUGGACAAUGGGCGCAAGCCUGAUCCAGCCAUGCCGCGUGAGUGAUGAAGGCCUUAGGGUUGUACAGCUCUUUUACCCGGGAUGAUAAUGACAGUACCGGGAGAAUAAGCUCCGGCUAACUCCGUG